AUGCAACCAGAAAUCGGGAGAAGAAAGGGCAGGCAUCGGCCGCGGUGCUCACGUCCUGCCUUGCAUGCCCACGUCUCGUGUCAGAGUGCCUGGUUCAAAUUCUGCUUCCUCUCUCAAGGACCCCCCCGGGAGGCAGCGGGCGAUGAUUCAAGCUCAGAUUUUAAGACACAGGGAAAGCCGGCGCCGAGGCUCACUAGGCUAAUCCUCCACCUUGCGGCACCGGCACACCAGGUUCUAGUCCCGGUCGGGGCGCCGGAUUCUGUCCCGGUUGCCCCUCUUCCAGGCCAGCUCUCUGCUGUGGCCCGGGAGUGCAGUGGAGGAUGGCCCAAGUGCUUGGGCCCUGCACCCCAUGGGAGACCAGGAAAAGCACCUGGCUCCUGCCAUCGGAUCAGCGCGGUGCGCCGGCCGCAGCGCGCCUGCCGCGGCGGCCAUUGGAGGGUGAACCAACAGCAAAGGAAGACCUUUCUCUCUGUCUUGUCUCUCUCUCUCACUGUCCACCCUGCAGGGAAAAAUCCGUGCCCCGCUGCCGCUGUGACCAAUCCUCGGUCUCCCUCACCUGGAUUAUUUCCGAAGCUCCCUGAGCACUCUUUCUCCACUCUCGUGCUCUUUUUUAAGAUUUACUGUAUUCAUUUGAAAGGCAGAAUUAGAGUGAGAGCGAGAGCGAGAGAGAGAUCUUCCAUCUACUGGUUCACUCCCCAAAUGGCUGCAUUUGGGCCAGGCCAAAGCCAGGAGCCAGGAGCUUCUUCCGGGUCCCCCAUGUGGGUGCAGGGCUCCAAGCUUUUGGCCGUCCUCUGCUGCUUUCCCAGGCGUGUGAGCAGGGAGCCGGGAGCAGCUUUACCUGCUGCACCACAGCGCUGGCCCCACACUCCCACUUUCUCUAGCUUCUCCUUCACACCUAUGUCAAAGAUCCUGAAAGGCAAACCUAAUCCUGUCGCUCCCCAGCCUAAAGUUUUCGGUUGCUUCUCCGUGUCUGUCGGACAAAGUCUCAACUCCGCCACUUGA
RNAcentral lists this long non-coding RNA (1002 nucleotides) under Oryctolagus cuniculus (rabbit). RNAcentral describes it as "lncRNA (ENSOCUG00000030620.1)". Lineage: Eukaryota; Metazoa; Chordata; Mammalia; Lagomorpha; Leporidae. The record is from RNAcentral.